CAAGUCGAGGGGCAGCAUGAUUGAAGCUUGCUUCAAUUGAUGGCGACCGGCGCACGGGUGAGUAACGCGUAUCCAACCUUCCGUACACUCAGGGAUAGCCUUUCGAAAGAAAGAUUAAUACCUGAUGGUAUGAUGAGAUUGCAUGAUAGCAUCAUUAAAGAUUUAUCGGUGUACGAUGGGGAUGCGUUCCAUUAGGUAGUAGGCGGGGUAACGGCCCACCUAGCCUACGAUGGAUAGGGGUUCUGAGAGGAAGGUCCCCCACAUUGGAACUGAGACACGGUCCAAACUCCUACGGGAGGCAGCAGUGAGGAAUAUUGGUCAAUGGACGAGAGUCUGAACCAGCCAAGUAGCGUGAAGGAUGAAGGUCUUACGGAUUGUAAACUUCUUUUAUAAGGGAAUAAAACCUCCCACGUGUGGGAGCUUGUAUGUACCUUAUGAAUAAGCAUCGGCUAACUCCGUGCCAGCAGCCGCGGUAAUACGGAGGAUGCGAGCGUUAUCCGGAUUUAUUGGGUUUAAAGGGAGCGCAGACGGGUCGUUAAGUCAGCCGUGAAAGUUUGGGGCUCAACCUUAAAAUUGCAGUUGAUACUGGCGUCCUUGAGUGCGGUUGAGGUGUGCGGAAUUCGUGGUGUAGCGGUGAAAUGCUUAGAUAUCACGAAGAACUCCGAUUGCGAAGGCAGCACACUAAGCCGUAACUGACGUUCAUGCUCGAAAGUGUGGGUAUCAAACAGGAUUAGAUACCCUGGUAGUCCACACGGUAAACGAUGGAUACUCGCUGUUGGCGAUAUACGGUCAGCGGCUUAGCGAA
Molecule: ribosomal RNA, 805 nt
Filed under: uncultured bacterium
Lineage: Bacteria
Description: bacterial SSU rRNA
Rfam family: Bacterial small subunit ribosomal RNA
Source: RNAcentral